CCCCUAGAUGUUCUGGGCCGCACGCGCGCUACACUGAACAGUUCAACAAGUCUUAACCUUGGCCGAUAGGUCUGGGUAAUCUUUGAACGCUGUUCGUGAUUGGGAUAGACCUUUGCAAUUAUGGGUCUUCAACGAGGAAUUCCUAGUAAACGCAAGUCAUCAGCUUGCAUUGAUUACGUCCCUGCCCUUUGUACACACCGCCCGUCGCACCUACCGAUUGAAUGGUCCGGUGAAAUAUCGGGACGGCGGCUUGGUCGCUUGCGUCCGACUGCUGAAACUUGAUUAAACCAUAUCAUUUAGAGGAAGGUGAAGUCGUAACA
RNAcentral lists this ribosomal RNA (320 nucleotides) under uncultured eukaryote. RNAcentral describes it as "partial 18S ribosomal RNA". It matches the Rfam family "Eukaryotic small subunit ribosomal RNA", at positions 1470 to 1796 of the family's 1831-position model. The record is from RNAcentral.